This 458-nucleotide ribosomal RNA is filed under the name uncultured bacterium. RNAcentral's name for it is "partial 16S ribosomal RNA". It matches the Rfam family "Bacterial small subunit ribosomal RNA", at positions 338 to 795 of the family's 1533-position model. The record is from RNAcentral.
CCUACGGGAGGCAGCAGUGAGGAAUAUUGGUCAAUGGGCGAGAGCCUGAACCAGCCAAGUCGCGUGAGGGAGUACUGCCCUAUGGGUUGUAAACCUCUUUUGUCGGGGAGCAAAAGCCGGACGUGUCCGGCUGUGAGAGUACCCGAAGAAAAAGCAUCGGCUAACUCCGUGCCAGCAGCCGCGGUAAUACGGAGGAUGCGAGCGUUAUCCGGAUUUAUUGGGGUUAAAGGGUGCGCAGGCGGAUUUUUAAGUCAGCGGUCAAAUCGUGGGGCUCAACCCCAUCCAGCCGUUGAAACUGGGGAUCUAGAGUGUGCGAGAGGUAUGCGGAAGGCGUGGUGUAGCGGUGAAAUGCAUAGAUAUCACGCAGAACCCCGAUUGCGAAGGCAGCAUACCGGUGCACAACUGACGCUCAGGCACGAAAGCGUGGGUAUCGAACAGGAUUAGAUACCCUGGUAGUC